RNAcentral lists this transfer RNA (68 nucleotides) under Melinna cristata. RNAcentral's name for it is "tRNA-Pro". Lineage: Eukaryota; Metazoa; Annelida; Polychaeta; Terebellida; Melinnidae. The record is from RNAcentral.
CAAGUGAUAAUUUAAUAAAAAUAUAGAUCUUGGGCAUCUACAAUUGCGAUCAACUUCUCAUCACUUGA